AGGGCCAAGCCUGGACAAGCAGUUGCCUGGCCCUUACCUCUCAUCUUAAUCAAUAUUUAAUAUCGAUUCUAAGACACAAGGCAAGAAGAUGGCAGUUUAGUAGCAGCAAAAGCUGGAAUCACUCCAAGAAUUCUCCUAAGACAGAAGAAUGCAAAAGAAGUUCAUGUUGGAUUUAAUUAGCCUCAGGGCUUGAGGAUGGAAGAAAGGACAGUUCUAGAACUCCAUGUUUUUUCCCUGUUAUGUGGCUGGAAGGUGAGGUGUGGAUGCUCAGUCCUCUUGAGACUACAAACAAGGAAAACCAAAGCAAGAACUAAAAUUCUUGUUAAGCUUUUCAAGGACUUGGAGAAAUUUGGAAACAUCAUGGGUAGAAUUGCCCUAAGGAAGGUCUCCUACAGAAAAGGGGAUUUGAGCUGAAUUCUAAAGGAAGUGAGGAAAGCUAUGAGACAAAGGCUGCCAUGGCCCAGCUCUUCAUCCUGAAUGCACACAGCGAAAGUAUUCUCCACCCUGUGGCUUCUUUCUCACAUUAAAUCUCCACCUAAGUCCAUCUAUAUCUCCUUCUCCAGUCUACACUCUGAACCUCACCAUGGUCUUGUUCAGAGUACUUGUAUCUCUUCUCCACUCUUCAGAUUCCUUUUAUGGGUUCUUCCCCUUUAGAAUGCAGCAUGAUAUUGUGGACAGAAAGUUAGCCUCAAGACCAGGAAGACCUGAAUUCCAAGCCAGUUUCUGGAAUGUCCACCGAGACGGAGCUAUGUGCUGCUGCGGCUGUCUGGGAGCAAGCAUCCUCCUUCUCCUGCGCCUUCUGCAUAUUUGAAGAUGUGUGUAAUGCAAUAUAUGUUUAGAUCAAAACAGAUGGUACGCUUGGCUCUGUUUACCAUACCGUCUAGUGGAGGGUUAUUCCCUAAUAGCUGACCCUGAAUCCAGGGCUAUCUGAAGACGUCUGCAUUACCUCUAAGCAAGAUCACUGAGCACCGGGACCUUGUGACGCUUCCAGUGGCGCUGGAAACAUGUUAGAAUUGAAAUCAUCCGAUUUUGUGCCCCUAGGGCAAAUCACUUGCCCUUUCUCAGCCUC
RNAcentral lists this long non-coding RNA (1069 nucleotides) under Monodelphis domestica (gray short-tailed opossum). RNAcentral describes it as "lncRNA (ENSMODG00000039246.1)". Lineage: Eukaryota; Metazoa; Chordata; Mammalia; Didelphimorphia; Didelphidae. The record is from RNAcentral.